Molecule: non-coding RNA, 288 nt
Organism: Pelobates cultripes (western spadefoot toad)
Lineage: Eukaryota; Metazoa; Chordata; Amphibia; Anura; Pelobatidae
Source: the annotation of a GenBank genome assembly
UUUUAUAUUGGGACAUAUAAAAAAGACAACUCUGUUACGCAGAAUAGCUGUUGACAUUAUAGAUGCGCAGGCACUUUAUUGACUCUAGAGAACCUCGAGUCAAUCGCAAAUCCCCGUGGCGGCGACUUUGCAUUCGGAUGUCAUCCAUAUCAACCUUCAAUGCCAGUUUCUGCGCCUACCAUGGUGACCACGGGUAACAGGGAAUCAGGGUUCCAUUCAGGCUACCACAUGCAAGGAAGGCAGCAGGUGCGCAAAUGACCCACUCCCGACGCGGGAAGGUAGUGACGA